This 1231-nucleotide ribosomal RNA is filed under the name Bacillus sp. (in: firmicutes). RNAcentral describes it as "bacterial SSU rRNA". It matches the Rfam family "Bacterial small subunit ribosomal RNA", at positions 105 to 1322 of the family's 1533-position model. The record is from RNAcentral. Lineage: Bacteria; Bacillati; Bacillota; Bacilli; Caryophanales; Bacillaceae.
GGUGAGUAACACGUGGGUAACCUGCCUGUAAGACUGGGAUAACUCCGGGAAACCGGAGCUAAUACCGGAUAGUUCCUUGAACCGCAUGGUUCAAGGAUGAAAGACGGUUUCGGCUGUCACUUACAGAUGGACCCGCGGCGCAUUAGCUAGUUGGUGAGGUAACGGCUCACCAAGGCGACGAUGCGUAGCCGACCUGAGAGGGUGAUCGGCCACACUGGGACUGAGACACGGCCCAGACUCCUACGGGAGGCAGCAGUAGGGAAUCUUCCGCAAUGGACGAAAGUCUGACGGAGCAACGCCGCGUGAGUGAUGAAGGUUUUCGGAUCGUAAAGCUCUGUUGUUAGGGAAGAACAAGUGCAAGAGUAACUGCUUGCACCUUGACGGUACCUAACCAGAAAGCCACGGCUAACUACGUGCCAGCAGCCGCGGUAAUACGUAGGUGGCAAGCGUUGUCCGGAAUUAUUGGGCGUAAAGGGCUCGCAGGCGGUUUCUUAAGUCUGAUGUGAAAGCCCCCGGCUCAACCGGGGAGGGUCAUUGGAAACUGGGAAACUUGAGUGCAGAAGAGGAGAGUGGAAUUCCACGUGUAGCGGUGAAAUGCGUAGAGAUGUGGAGGAACACCAGUGGCGAAGGCGACUCUCUGGUCUGUAACUGACGCUGAGGAGCGAAAGCGUGGGGAGCGAACAGGAUUAGAUACCCUGGUAGUCCACGCCGUAAACGAUGAGUGCUAAGUGUUAGGGGGUUUCCGCCCCUUAGUGCUGCAGCUAACGCAUUAAGCACUCCGCCUGGGGAGUACGGUCGCAAGACUGAAACUCAAAGGAAUUGACGGGGGCCCGCACAAGCGGUGGAGCAUGUGGUUUAAUUCGAAGCAACGCGAAGAACCUUACCAGGUCUUGACAUCCUCUGACAACCCUAGAGAUAGGGCUUUCCCUUCGGGGACAGAGUGACAGGUGGUGCAUGGUUGUCGUCAGCUCGUGUCGUGAGAUGUUGGGUUAAGUCCCGCAACGAGCGCAACCCUUGAUCUUAGUUGCCAGCAUUCAGUUGGGCACUCUAAGGUGACUGCCGGUGACAAACCGGAGGAAGGUGGGGAUGACGUCAAAUCAUCAUGCCCCUUAUGACCUGGGCUACACACGUGCUACAAUGGACAGAACAAAGGGCUGCGAGACCGCAAGGUUUAGCCAAUCCCACAAAUCUGUUCUCAGUUCGGAUCGCAGUCUGCAACUCGAACUGCGUG